This 433-nucleotide ribosomal RNA is filed under the name uncultured bacterium. RNAcentral's name for it is "partial 16S ribosomal RNA". It matches the Rfam family "Bacterial small subunit ribosomal RNA", at positions 29 to 507 of the family's 1533-position model. The record is from RNAcentral.
AGCGAACGCUGGCGGCAGGCCUAACACAUGCAAGUCGAACGAACUCUUCGGAGUUAGUGGCGGACGGGUGAGUAACACGUGGGAACGUGCCUUUAGGUUCGGAAUAACUCAGGGAAACUUGUGCUAAUACCGAAUGUGCCCUUCGGGGGAAAGAUUUAUCGCCUUUAGAGCGGCCCGCGUCUGAUUAGCUAGUUGGUUAGGUAAAGGCUCACCAAGGCGACGAUCAGUAGCUGGUCUGAGAGGAUGAUCAGCCACAUUGGGACUGAGACACGGCCCAAACUCCUACGGGAGGCAGCAGUGGGGAAUAUUGCGAAAUGGGCGAAAGCCUGAAGCAGCCAUGCCGCGUGAAUGAUGAAGGUCUUAGGAUUGUAAAAUUCUUUCACCGGGGACGAUAAUGACGGUACCCGGAGAAGAAGCCCCGGCUAACUUCGUG